GGAAUUAGCAGUAAGUCUCAUCUUUGGCAUGUAAGUAUCUGAAGGUUCCUGGAAACUCUGCCAUAAGCUGUUCCCAUUUUCACUCCCUCCCAAGACAAGGUUUCCAUCAUCCAUAAGCUGCGCUCUUGAAUCAUUCAUUCCAGUCGAGACAUUUGAUGACCAAAGAAUUUCUUUCUGACCAUUCAAAACAACAAGAUUUCCAUCUUCAGAUAUUGUCAUAAUCCCAGAAGAAUCGUUGAGUGGCAUAUUUCUGUUAGCCACCCAAACUGGAGUUGUAAUAGAAAUAUUACUGUACCAUAUCGCUGCAUAACGAUUUGUGGAAUUUACAGGGCUGAAAAAUCCCAGUUUGAACUUGUUCCCAGCAGAGACUAUAUCUUCAGGAUCUUUGAUAUACUGAGAUGAUGUAAUGGUAUCUACGGAAGCUCCAAAUUCCCAACAAAAACAAUAUAGUAUUAGGAGAAAAGCUAUUGUGGAUGUGAAUCUGCCAUGAUCCAUAGUUGUAUAUUUAGUAGCACAAAAAUUAUAAAAAGAAUAUUUGGCUAAGUGCUUGUUCUUGAUUGGAAUAAAAGCUUUAUUAUAUCAUGAAUUAUUGACUAUUCAAUAUAUGCAUGCCAUUGUAGCCCAGUUGUCACUUCCUGCCGUCUGACUUUACUUGGCAAAUACAUAGGUGUUAGUCAAUUAUGUGUACUCUGAUUGUAAAUCACCCAACUCAAUGUCAUAAUCAGAGUCUACAUAAUUGACUAACACGUAUGCCAAGGCAAGUUCACAUUAGGUGUAAUGUUUUGAAUUAAUGAGUAGGAAAAUACAAUAAAGCCCUUGGAGGCUUAAAAGUUGGAAUAAAUGAAUAAGGGGUAUAGUGGUAAUUCAACAAACUGGAUAAAUAUAAAUAGAAAGAAAAAAAAAAAGAGAUCUGAAUAUUUUGAGAGUAAACCGUGAGAGAGAAGGGAGAAGGGAGAAAGAAGAAGAAGAAGAGAAAGGAGGGAAAUUAGAAGGGAAAUAGAAAGGAGUUGAAGAGAAUAAGUUUAAAGGUAAGAUUUAGGUUUUUAAAUGUAUAAAUGUAUGUUAAUUGAACUUAAUUUCAGUUUUGAUGAAUGUUAGGGUUUUGAAAAUUUAUGUUUUGGGUUUAAUUGAUGAAUUAAAUUGAAUGUUAUAAGGUUGAUUGUUAUGGGUAAUUGAUUAAUGAGUUGAUUAUGGAAUAUUGUGAUGAUUUUGAGUUAUGAAUUGUGUAAAUGGUGAAUGUUGAGUUAGAAAUUUGGCAAGAACAGUAGGUAAUCUGUGAGAAUUCUGGGUUUGAGGUUGAAGAUGACAAAAUUUCGGUUUGGUCCCUCAAUUUUGGAACAUUACAGUUUAGUCCCUAAACUUUGGAAAUUUACAGAUUGGUUCCUAAAGCAUAUUUCGAGAUUCUGAACAGAAUAAAAGAUGAAUUAUGGGCAGAAUUACUGUAUAGAUAUGAAAAUUUAACACUUUCAAGUUGGUCCUCCAAUUUGACAAAAAUUACAAUUUGACCCUAAAAAUUUGGUAAAAUUCCAGAAUGGUCCCCGGAGUAUAAUGAGAUGAUCUGGACAGAAAUGAGGACUAAUUAUGGUCAGAAUUUCAGUAUAUUCAUGGAUUUAUGAUAAAUUUUAGUUUGGUCCUUCAAUUUAACAAAAGUUGCAAUUUGACCCUUAAAAAUAGGAUAAAUUACAAAUUGGUCCCUAGCUGUAAUAUUAACUUUUGCAGAUUGGUUUGAUGAAUAAUUGAGGGUUAUUUAGUGAAUUAUUACCAAUUCUAUUAUUUGUUUUAUUAUGGAUUAGAUUUCGGGAAAACCGUUAAAUGUUGGGUUUUUAGGAAAAAUAACUCGGUAGUUCAAAAACAUAUAGGGUUUUGGAAUAUGCCCUUAGAUAAGUGUAUUAAAUAGGUUAUAUAUUCUUUUGAGUCAUUCUUGAAUAUGUCUCCUUUGUAUUCAGAUAAUCCUGAUAUUCUACCGGCGGGACGCCAUUAGGAUUUCCUUCGGUAUCUGCUUUUGACUUCUGUUUGCUUUCGAGUCAAGUGAGUGGAUAAUUUUCCAUAUGCAUGAGAAAUAUUAUAAAUAUUUGAUUUGUUAAUAUGAAUUGGAUCAUGCUUCUUGAUAAUAUAUAUGUUGAUUAUUAUCCUUGUUAUGAUAAGCAUGAUCAAUUGUUGAAUCUGAAUUAUUGAUAUGAACCAGUAUAUAUAUUCUGAAUUGACUUCUGAAUUAAUAGCUCCUCAUUUGAUUGAUGUCAUGAGUUGAGCCUUGAGAUAUGAAUAUGUCUGUUUGAUUAUGAUUAUGAACCUAUGGUAUGUCAGUCAGAAUACCCAUGCUAACAGGGUAGUGUUAGUCUUUGUGCACAUCGUAUCUGAACCCUAGUUGGUCGGGGGAGUCACCAACCUGUGUGGACUGAUCAUCCCACAGUACGGAGCCUCAUGCUCAUUGCAUUUUGAUUUUCUGACGAAUUUUACCAUAUGACAUUCUUGUUAUGGCCAAUUUGAGAAACAUUUCCAUAAGAACCUAAAGUCAUACUUGUAUAUAUAUUUCUCAUUGUUUUAUUACCUCGUAUGUGUGUAUUAAACGUUAUCUACUCACUGAGUUGUUGAACUCACCCUUUCAUUAUUAUUCUUUUCAGGCUUAUAACUUUAUAGCAGAUCACUUUUGUUGGACAUUCAGAACCUGUUCUUUGGUUGUACUUUAUACCUUUUCUUUAUGUCUAGUUAGUGCUCCAAAACUAUGAAUUUAUAUGAACUCUUGUAUUAAGACAAUUCAAUUAUAUUAUGAAAUUGAUUUUGUUAUUAAUGCUGCGUUGAACUCUGAUUGAGUUAGGAUAAGUUUGUGUGUAAGUUUGGGUUCGCAUAGGUAUGGAACCUUGAAGGGGAACCUUGCCUAUGUGCCGGUCAUGGAUCCGGGAAUCGGGUCGUGACAUUAGGGUUAAUUUAGACCAUGCCAAACCAACCUAUGGUUAAAUUCUGGUGUGAGAGCAAGAUGGAGAAUGAGAGUGACGCAUUGAUAAAAUGAAAUAAAUUGAAAAUUUAUUGCAAAAAAAUGGAAUUAAAAUAUAUAUUAUCAAAAUCUUGCCAUUACUUUGACAUGCCUAAAAAAUUCAGCGUUGAAAGUUUUACAAAUGGCCGACCAGCUGCAAGCCCAGCAGAAAAACAAUCAUGUCAUGAAUUUUGUCUAUCGGCCUGAAAGAAGUGUAACCGUGACGUUGUUGAUGGAUUCUGGCCUCUGGUCGUGCUGAAGGGACGCUGUGUCUAGCUCACUCCGCCUUUCUGAAAAUGCAGGUUGCUUGGGAGUGGGAAGAUCCACAAUUUCACUAUUUAGCAUGGAAAUGACAGUGAAUAUAGCUGGCCUGUCUUUUGCAAAUUCCUGAACACAUAGCAAACCAACGUGUACGCAACGAAAAAUUUCCUCGUGGAAAGAAGGAUAUGAAAUUCCAGGAUCUACCAGAGCUGCAAUGUUGCCCUCGUUCCACAAUUUCCAGGCCUGAGAAGUAAAAAAAUAUGUUGAAGUUAAUGCAGUUUUAAUAAUUUUGUAUCAUUAAAACAAGGAGUUGGAUGGACAUACAUAUCCUAGCAGGCUCAAAGCCUCCUCGUUUCCAUAGAAACUGGUAUUUUUCCUUCCACUUAUAAUCUCUAAUAACAAAACUCCAAAGCUAAAGACAUCGGAUUUCUCUGAAAAUCGACCUUCCAUGGCAUAUUCAGGGGACAUAUAGCCGCUGCAUCACCAAAAAAAUAGAUUUCAGAAAAAAAGAAGAAGGAAAGAUAACAGGAUAAGAAUCGCUAACGGAACAGUGCUUACAAUGUUCCAACAACCCUUCCAGUGUCAGCUUGGUCUUCGUUGCGACCAAAUAUCCUAGCCAUUCCGAAAUCUGAGAUUUUAGGAUUCAGUUCUUGGUCCAGUAGGAUGUUACUUGCCUUCAGAUCUCGAUGAAUAAUCCGCAGCCUAGAAUCCCUGUGAAGGUAAAGCAGACCUCGACAGAUUCCUUCGACAAUGUUGAAGCGUUUUUUCCAAUCUAGAAGUUGUUUUCUUGAAGGAUCUAGACAAAUUGCAGCGCAAAAUAAAAUUUCGUGAGGCUAAACAAAGGACUCCAUGAAAGAUGUUAAUCUGCUUCUAAUAAGUUAAACCGCAUAUCUGGUUGGGAAUCUGGAAAACUGUAAUGUAUUUACUUAAGAGAUAAGGCAAAAGCUCUAACCAAAAAGAAAAGCAUCCAAGCUCCUAUUUGGCAUGUACUCAUAAACCAACAUCUUCUCUUCUCCUUCAACGCAGCAUCCAAGAAGUCUCACGAGAUUCAUAUGUUGCAGUUUUGAAAUCACCACAACCUCAGUCAUAAAUUCUUCUUGCCCUUGUCCAGAUGCUCUUGACAGUCUUUUCAGAGCUAUCUCCUGCCCAUCUGGGAAUUUUCCCUGCAAGUUCAAUCAAUCCAAUAACUAGCUGUUCAGUUCAAUGAACCAUAAAAAUGUCAAAGAUCCAUCUCAAUCCAAAAACUUAAGCUGUUAGGUGAGGUCCUAAGAUAUGAUUUAUAUUAUUCUCCAACAAAAAAACUCCUCCACAACACAAGCAUUACCUUGUACACUGGACCAAAUCCACCCUGCCCAAGCUUAUUGGCUGUAUUAAAGUUGUCUGUUGCAACUAUCAGCAUUUGUAAACUGAACAGAGGUAGUUCUUGAAGUUUAACAUGGUUCAAGUUGUCUUGGAUCACGUUUUCGUCCAAUAAUAUUGGAUGCUUCCUUUUUGGUAAUAAUACCUUCUUGCUUGUCCUCUUCCUUUCUGGUUAAAUCCACAAGUAAGCAUCCCUUGUACAUUUCAUUUUACUUUUGAAUGAAACUUGAGAAUGUUUAAGAAAUUCCAACAAGCUAAUACUAACAUGCAAUUUACCUAUCCACCUCCAGGAAUAAAACACGCAGAUCGCAAUGGCAAUGGCUCCCACGACCACUGUUAAACUGAUAAUUACUUUCAUGUUUAUCUUUUUAUUAUCUGCAGAAAACAAAUUGUGGUAUCUUUAAAUUUGGCAAAAGCAAAACUAGGGAAAAAGAUCAAGUUUCUUCACCUUUCCAUUUGAAUAGCGAAGUUAGUUUAUCAGUAAUUUUCUGUAACAGGAAAUGGUUUGCACGCAACAUUGUAAACGAGAAUUGGAUAGAAAAUGAAACGCUUACCAAGUUCUGUAUAAGCAAGGCGAAUGUAAAGAUCUGCCCCUCCACUAGAAAACUUCUUUAUAUCAGUUAAGUUUCCCUUCCAUAACAUACAAUAUAUACCAGUAUAAUAGGCAUAAGCUAUACAAGAACAAUUAUUCCAGCAGUCAUCUCUGCAUUUUUGUUCAGUAAUCGAAGAUGACCACUCAGCAAAGCCUGGCACUUUCACUCUCUCCAGCUUCGAAAAUCCAUCUUCUUUUCCCAGUUCACCACCAUUUUGUAUUCUUUCACACCGCAUCGCUUUCCUUCGAACACAACCAUGAGUCCAGUUUCUGCUAUUCCAUUCAUCGGCAUUUUUUGGUUCAAAACCUUUCAAGCAACUGCAAAUUGGUGUGUUCUUUGCAUCACAGCUUGCAAAUGAACCACACUUGCCAUAAACAUCACACUCAUCUUGAACACUUUCCCAUUGAUAUCUCCAUGAUCCCUCAUUCAUAUCAUCCCAAAAUACUUGUCCAAAUUUUCCUUCAGAACUCAAAACAAAAUUGGUGAUGUAAGACUCAUCAGCAAAACCUACACUUAGAGUAAAACCUCCAUUUCCAUCAUCCGCAAGAUUAAAUCCAUCAAGAUAAACAGAAUUCAUUUCUGGGACUCCAAUAAAAACCUGACCAUUCCAGGGACCAGUACGCCAGAUUGGACGACUAUCAUUCCAAAGAACCACUUCAGGAAUGCUCGAGGGAUCAAUACCCAAAGAGAAGCUUCCGAUAGACGGAUCUGAAGGGCUUUUCCAUGAUGUCAGUGGCGUCUUCUUACCUGUUCUGGGAUUAGCAGUAAGUCUCAUCUUCGGAAUGUAAGUAUCUGAUGGUUCCUGGAAACUCUGCCAUAAGCUGUUCCCAUUUUCACUCCCUCCCAAGACAAGGUUUCCAUCAUCCAUAAGCUGCGCUCUUGAAUCAUUCAUUCCAGUCGAGACAUUUGAUGACCAAAGAGUUUCUUUCUGACCAUUCAAAACAACAAGAUUUCCAUCUUCAGAUAUUGUCAUAAUC
This 6161-nucleotide long non-coding RNA is filed under the name Populus trichocarpa (black cottonwood). Its description in RNAcentral is "long non-coding RNA (PTRI_LNC002675)". The record is from RNAcentral. Lineage: Eukaryota; Viridiplantae; Streptophyta; Magnoliopsida; Malpighiales; Salicaceae.